CUGUGUCGCGAGCUUGAGGUCCUGCGGCGGAGUGAGACAGCUAGCGUUUGGGACCGGAAGUUGGUCGAGCCGCGUCUCAGCUAGCACUUUGGUGAAGUUUGAGAACACUGCUUUCCUAGCCAGGUGGUGCCAUACAGACUAAACGAUGGACUGUCUGGGAUGGGUUUCAGUAGUUAGUGGAUUGGUUUUCUCCGUGCUGAUACUUUUUUAUUGCACGUACUGGAUAUCACAAAAGCGUCUUCACCAGACCUUUCAGAAAAUGGGCAUCAGAGGUCCAAAGCCUAGUUUCUUCUUCGGAAAUUUGGAUGAGAUUCU
This is a long non-coding RNA of Pomacea canaliculata, 315 nucleotides long. RefSeq lists it as uncharacterized. The transcript is spliced from 3 exons. The record is from RefSeq and is a predicted model, not a curated record. NCBI's taxonomy places the organism in Eukaryota, Metazoa, Mollusca, Gastropoda, Architaenioglossa, Ampullariidae.